This 1081-nucleotide ribosomal RNA is filed under the name uncultured Rhizaria. RNAcentral's name for it is "SSU rRNA". It matches the Rfam family "Eukaryotic small subunit ribosomal RNA", at positions 577 to 1674 of the family's 1831-position model. The record is from RNAcentral.
CGGUAAUUCCAGCUCCAAUAGCGUAUACUAAAGUUGUUGCAGUUAAAAAGCUCGUAGUUGGAUUUCUGCGGGGACGGAGCGGCCGGACGCAACUUGCGUCUCGAGCUAGCGCUUUCCCCGCAUCCUGCCGCGAACCGUGCUACCAUUAGUUUGGUGGCGCUGGGGAUCGGCUCGAUUACUUUGAGAAAAAUAGAGUGUUCAAAGCAGGCCACACGCCUUGAAUAAGUUAGCAUGGAAUAAUGACUAAGGACUUCGGUUCUAUUUUGUUGGUGUUCGGGACUGAAGUAAUGAUUGAUAGGGACAGUUGGGGCGGUCUGUAUUCCAAAGCGAGAGGUGAUAUUCUUAGACCUUCGGAAGACAAACAGCUGCGAAAGCGUUCCGCAAGGAUGUUCCCUUUGAUCAAGAACGAAAGUUGGGGGAUCGAAGACGAUCAGAUACCGUCGUAGUCUCAACUAUAAACUAUACCAGCUAGGGAUCGGUCAACGUUUAAUUAUUCGACUUGAUCGGCACCUUAUGAGAAAUCAAAGCAUCUGGGUUCCGGGGGGAGUAUGGUCGCAAGGCUGAAACUUAAAGGAAUUGACGGAAGGGCACCACCAGCCGUGGAGCCUGUGGCUUAAUUUGACUCAACACGGGAAAACUUACCAGGUCCAGACAUAGUAAGGAUUGACAGAUUGAUAGCUCUUUCUUGAUUCUGUGGGUGGUGGUGCAUGGCCGUUCUUAGUUGGUGGAGUGAUUUGUCUGGUUAAUUCCGUUAACGAACGAGACCCCAGCCAGCUAAAUAGCGCGGCUGAGCUUUGCUCGGUGCGAGCUUCUUAGAGGGACUAUGAUGCGCGAUAGCACAUGGAAGUUUGGGGCAAUAACAGGUCUGUGAUGCCCUUAGAUGUUCUGGGCCGCACACGGGCUACACUGGCGCCUGCAACGAGUAUAUCAGCUGGCCCGAGAGGGUCUUGGCUAAUCUUUUGAACCGGCGCCGUGCUUGGGAUUGACCUUUGCAAUUGUUGGUCAUGCAACGAGGAAUGCCUUGUAAACGCGAGUCAUCAGCUCGCAUUGAAUACGUCCCUGCUCCUUGUACACACCGCCC